This 440-nucleotide ribosomal RNA is filed under the name uncultured bacterium. RNAcentral's name for it is "partial 16S ribosomal RNA". It matches the Rfam family "Bacterial small subunit ribosomal RNA", at positions 338 to 795 of the family's 1533-position model. The record is from RNAcentral.
CCUACGGGUGGCAGCAGUGGGGAAUAUUGCACAAUGGGGGAAACCCUGAUGCAGCAACGCCGCGUGAGUGAAGAAGUAUUUCGGUAUGUAAAGCUCUAUCAGCAGGGAAGAAGAUGACGGUACCUGAGUAAGAAGCCCCGGCUAACUACGUGCCAGCAGCCGCGGUAAUACGUAGGGGGCAAGCGUUAUCCGGAUUUACUGGGUGUAAAGGGAGCGUAGACGGCCAUGCAAGUCUGAUGUGAAAACCCGGGGCUCAACCCCGGGACUGCAUUGGAAACUGUGCGGCUGGAGUGUCGGAGAGGCAAGUGGAAUUCCUAGUGUAGCGGUGAAAUGCGUAGAUAUUAGGAGGAACACCAGUGGCGAAGGCGGCUUGCUGGACGACGACUGACGUUGAGGCUCGAAAGCGUGGGGAGCAAACAGGAUUAGAUACCCCAGUAGUC